GAUGAAGAACGCAGCGAAAUGCGAUACUUGGUGUGAAUUGCAGAAUCCCGUGAACCAUCGAGUCUUUGAACGCAAGUUGCGCCCGAAGCCAUUAGGCUGAGGGCACGCCUGCCUGGGCGUCACACGUCGUUGCCCCCCCAUCUACUCCUUCGGGAUUGCGGGGGGCGGAUGAUGGCCUCUCGUGCGCCUCGUCGCGCGGUUGGCCUAAAUGCCAAGUCCUCGGCGACGCACGCCACGACAAUCGGUGGUUGCGAAACCUCGGUUGCCUGUCGUGUGCGGUCGUCGCGCAUCGAGGGCUCGAAAAAAUUGCCGGGCUUCGGCUCGACUUUCAACGCGACCCCAGGUCAGGCGGGGUUACCCGCUGAAUUUAAGCAUAUCAAUAAGCGGAGGA
RNAcentral lists this unclassified non-coding RNA (391 nucleotides) under soil metagenome. RNAcentral's name for it is "partial contains 5.8S ribosomal RNA, internal transcribed spacer 2, and large subunit ribosomal RNA". The stretch from base 1 to 122 matches the Rfam family "5.8S ribosomal RNA", at positions 35 to 154 of the family's 154-position model. The record is from RNAcentral.